GGUGCUGUAAAAAAAGCCAAUUUACAUUGAAGUGAAUAAUUAAUAAUGAAACAUAAAAUAACAAAACAAUAAGGCAUGCUGCAAUAAAAACUUAAUAAUUUUGUUCAUAACGUAGUGUAUUCUCCUUCAACUACAAAUUGGCAUCAAGUAUACUAGGAAAACAGGACACUAUUUCUUCUUUCUCUGCACUCUAGUCUUCUCAUUCAAAGCAGGAGCACCCUUCCUCCUUGCUAGACUUCCUAUAACGUUAGUCUCACUGAUUGACCCAUCUUCUUGCUUCUUUGUAGCAUAGUCUCAUAGUAGAGUCCAUAGUGUGUACGGUAUUGGUCAAUAUCCGAAGGGUCUGCAAAAAUGAUAAACUGUUUCAAUAAGUAAAAUACAUAAAAAUGACCCAUUAAUCUACAUAUUACAUACAUCUAACUACAACUUCAAUACACACAUAUCUAAAAAUACAUGAGGAAGAAACAAUAAAUACCGAUCUGCUGUAAAAAAAAUACAGCAUAACAUACAAUUCUGCUUCAAUUUGUAGUAGUUACCUAACAUUAUAUCUACAAUAAAACUAUAAAAAAAUCUAACCAACAAUACAAUUACAAUUUAAUGCCUUUUCCACAAAAAGAAACCAAAACCAGAUAACUACAAUUCUACUUCAAAUAUUAGUUGUUACAUAAUAUUAUUACUACGAUAAAACUAUAAAUAUAAGUAAAAGUUAUAAAUGCAGAACAUCACAACUACAAUAAUCUUCAAAAUUAAGCCCAUUAAACUACAUUUGUGAAAAACAUGAAUAACACAAAUUUUAACCUCAUAACCAAAAAAAAAUUAGAAAAUAAACUAUAAUAAAUGUAUACCUUCGUCAAUGAUUGGUUCUGAACAAUUUUAGGGAGUUUUUUUUAAUGUUUCUUCAUAUUUAGAUUUUUAAAACCAAGAGACACAUUUGAUUUCUUUCUUGUUCAAAGAGUAGGGACCUUCUCUACAAAGUCGUCAUCCUCAACAAUGUCUUUCCCUUUUUGACUUGUUUGACUGUUGUAGAACAUUCUCCAACAUCUACAUCAAGUUUUUUUUUCUCAUUCAGCACUUAUUUGUCAGGGAGAUGAAGUAUGACUAAUAUCUGUAAUUGUAUGUGUAGAUUUACCUAGGUUUUUGGGUGUUUUGGGGGAUAAAACACCCAAAUCAAAGGAAGAUAAAUCACAUAGUGCUGUUUUUUGGACUCUUUUUCGAACCUUCCUUGAUCUUCACUGAUGAACUUCAACUAAAUAAAAUGUUGAUAGGAAUUUGUUUAAAGAGUUUAUUGAAUUUUGUUUGAAUUUAGAGGGAAAGUGGGUGGUUUCAGAGGAAGGACAAUGGAGAAAGAAAUGUGGGAGAUGGGGUACGGGGAUGAGGGGUUAGGAGAGAGAAAGUGAAGAUUAGUACUUUAAUAUAAAGGAAAGGCUUAAAUUAAGGAGUAUAAAAUAUUUGACUUAAUUUUUUGCAACAAUCAAAUACUAGAAAAUGAUUUAUAUUUUUGGAAAAUAUAUUUCUUCAUAUGAAGAGCACUGUGCUAAUGUGCUUCAGGUAAAUGGAAGUACACUUCCAUACAAGGUAAAGGAAGGAGCUGUUGCCUUGCCUUUUUUGCCCAUAAUAACAAGAAGAACAAAUAAUGAUCACAUAAUACUGUUUUCUUACUUUAGAUUAAUCAAAAGCCAACUCUUCGCUAAUUAUUUCACUUGCAUUUUUGAGCAGGUUGAUGAGAUCAUUGAUCAAUCAUGAUCAGCUUUCUAAUUACCUUCAUCAGCAGUCACUGCCAUGACACUGACCUUGAAACCACACUUUUAUUGCACUUCCCUUAACAAGUGAGACCCCAAAAAUUAAUAUCCCCAAAUGAUAAGCACUAAUUCGUUAUUAUGCUGAAGGCUGAACCUCACAUGUUGGAAUCUUGUAAUUUUUUUAAUGACCGAGAAAUUCGUUGAUUCUAACUAACUAAGAAAGUCGGUGAAUUAUUAUGCAUUUGCCCUUCUAUCCUUCUUCACUUAAAUAUCAAAUUUUGUUCACACAGCAUAAUUUGAACUCAUGAGAUGCAUACAGUGUUGGAGGCACGAUAUCACCAAGGGAAUUUUUAUAAAAAAAAAAAGUUAAAAAAAAACUAAAAGAAGUGGGAAAUGAACCAAUGACCCCACAAAGGUUUUGAACCCCCUCAAUCACUAAGUUAUGCUUUUGGGUUACAUCAAGGGGAUUCAAAAUAUACUAUAAAUAGAUACAAAAUAGAUUUUACCUUAGGUUGACCCCAUUCCACUCCCCUAAAUCCACCCCUAGAUGCACGUACAAAGAUUUUUAUGUGUGAAACAAAGGGGGCCCGCAAUGUUCGGCAAAACUUUGUGCACACACACAUAUAUACAUAUAUACACACACACAACAUACACAUACACACAUACACACACAUACAUACAUAUAUAUAUAUAUAUAUAUAUAUAUAUGUUCAUAAAAUAGUGAUACAUAAUAACAGUGACGCUCUAUCUACAGAAUAGAUUUUGGUUGAAUUCAAAAGUGCAUCCACGAUCUUCAAAUCCUGAAUCCGCCUAAAAAGGGGAGAAAUCAUUGACAAGAAAGAGACUUAAGAAAGAAUGAUGCUUUGUUAAGAGUUUCACCUUCUUUUGUCAUUCUUGAUCAGUCUUGUCCAAGUAGCAAAGGGGAAUUGUUGUGAACAUGACCUGUUGAGAUCCAACUGAUACAUACGAGAAGACUUAUGUAGUAAAACCAAACAAAGAUAGCAUCAAUUUUGGGAGUGGUGGAUCCCAUAUUUUGAGGCAUCAAUCUUUU
RNAcentral lists this long non-coding RNA (2790 nucleotides) under Nicotiana benthamiana. Its description in RNAcentral is "long non-coding RNA (NBEN_LNC020442)". Lineage: Eukaryota; Viridiplantae; Streptophyta; Magnoliopsida; Solanales; Solanaceae. The record is from RNAcentral.